GAUAACACCUGGAAACAGAUGCUAAUACCGUAUAACAGAGAAAACCGCAUGGUUUUCUUUUAAAAGAUGGCUCUGCUAUCACUUCUGGAUGGACCCGCGGCGUAUUAGCUAGUUGGUGAGGUAAAGGCUCACCAAGGCAGUGAUACGUAGCCGACCUGAGAGGGUAAUCGGCCACAUUGGGACUGAGACACGGCCCAGACUCCUACGGGAGGCAGCAGUAGGGAAUCUUCCACAAUGGACGCAAGUCUGAUGGAGCAACGCCGCGUGAGUGAAGAAGGGUUUCGGCUCGUAAAGCUCUGUUGUUAAAGAAGAACGUGGGUAAGAGUAACUGUUUACCCAGUGACGGUAUUUAACCAGAAAGCCACGGCUAACUACGUGCCAGCAGCCGCGGUAAUACGUAGGUGGCAAGCGUUAUCCGGAUUUAUUGGGCGUAAAGCGAGCGCAGGCGGUCUUUUAAGUCUAAUGUGAAAGCCUUCGGCUCAACCGAAGAAGUGCAUUGGAAACUGGGAGACUUGAGUGCAGAAGAGGACAGUGGAACUCCAUGUGUAG
This 549-nucleotide ribosomal RNA is filed under the name Pediococcus pentosaceus. Its description in RNAcentral is "bacterial SSU rRNA". It matches the Rfam family "Bacterial small subunit ribosomal RNA", at positions 142 to 678 of the family's 1533-position model. Lineage: Bacteria; Bacillati; Bacillota; Bacilli; Lactobacillales; Lactobacillaceae. The record is from RNAcentral.